CCAAUAGCGUAUAUUAAAGUUGUUGCAGUUAAAAAGCUCGUAGUUGAAUUUCGGGAUCAAUACGUCGGUCGUGCUUCGGUACGUACUGGCGUCAUUGAUUUCUCCCUUCUGGCGAACCAUGAUGUCAUUAACUUGGUGUCAUGGGAAAUCAGGACUGUUACUUUGAAAAAAUUAGAGUGUUUAAAGCAGGCUCACGCUUGAAUACAUUAGCAUGGAAUAAUGAAAUAGGACGCUCGAUCCCAUUUUGUUGGUUUUUAGGAUCAACGUAAUGAUUAAUAGGGAUAGUUGGGGGCAUUAGUAUUCAAUUGUCAGAGGUGAAAUUCUUGGAUUUAUUGAAGACUAACUACUGCGAAAGCAUUUGCCAAGGAUGUUUUCAUUAAUCAAGAACGAAAGUUAGGGGAUCGAAGACGAUCAGAUACCGUCGUAGUCUUAACCAUAAACUAUGCCGACUAGGGAUCGGAUGAUGUUAAUUUUUUAAUGACUCAUUCGGCGCCUUACG
Molecule: ribosomal RNA, 499 nt
Filed under: uncultured Glomeromycotina
Lineage: Eukaryota; Fungi; Glomeromycota
Description: partial small subunit ribosomal RNA
Rfam family: Eukaryotic small subunit ribosomal RNA
Source: RNAcentral